Molecule: unclassified non-coding RNA, 377 nt
Filed under: uncultured Actinomycetes bacterium
Lineage: Bacteria; Bacillati; Actinomycetota; Actinomycetes
Description: uncultured actinobacterium contains 16S-23S intergenic spacer region
Source: RNAcentral
UCCGAGUUGACCCCGGCAGUCUCUCACGAGUCCCCGCCAUUACGCGCUGGCAACAUAGGACAAGGGUUGCGCUCGUUGCGGGACUUAACCCAACAUCUCACGACACGAGCUGACGACAGCCAUGCACCACCAAUCGCCGGCCCCGAAGGACACUACAUCUCUGUAGCUUUUCCGGCGUAGUUCAAUCCAGGUGAGGUUCUUCGCGUUGCAUCGAAUUAAGCAACAUGCUCCGCUGCUUGUGCGGGUCCCCGUCAAUUCCUUUGAGUUUUAGCCUUGCGGCCGUACUCCCCAGGCGGGAUACUUAAUGCGUUAGCGACGGCGCGGAAGAAGUUGGUUAUCUCCCACACCUAGUAUCCACCGUUUACGGCGUGGACUAC